This 440-nucleotide ribosomal RNA is filed under the name uncultured bacterium. RNAcentral describes it as "partial 16S ribosomal RNA". It matches the Rfam family "Bacterial small subunit ribosomal RNA", at positions 338 to 795 of the family's 1533-position model. The record is from RNAcentral.
CCUACGGGCGGCAGCAGUGGGGGAUAUUGCACAAUGGGGGGAACCCUGAUGCAGCGACGCCGCGUGGGUGAAGAAGCGCCUCGGCGCGUAAAGCCCUGUCAGCAGGGAAGAAAAUGACGGUACCUGAAGAAGAAGCCCCGGCUAACUACGUGCCAGCAGCCGCGGGAAUACGUAGGGGGCAAGCGUUAUCCGGAUUUACUGGGUGUAAAGGGGGCGCAGACGGCGUUGCAAGCCAGGAGUGAAAGCCCGGGGCCCAACCCCGGGACUGCUCGUGGAACUGCGUGGCUGGAGUGCAGGAGGGGCAGGCGGAAUUCCUGGUGUAGCGGUGAAAUGCGUAGAUAUCAGGAAGAACACCGAUGGCGAAGGCGGCCUGCUGGACUGCAACUGACGUUGAGGCCCGAAAGCGUGGGGAGCUAACAGGAUUAGAUACCCGUGUAGUC